RNAcentral lists this ribosomal RNA (1989 nucleotides) under Triticum aestivum (bread wheat). RNAcentral describes it as "partial small subunit ribosomal RNA". The record is from RNAcentral. Lineage: Eukaryota; Viridiplantae; Streptophyta; Magnoliopsida; Poales; Poaceae.
AUGGCCGCCCAUAAAACCCAGUGGUGGCGUGAGCUGAACGGCGCCGAUCCAUUUUCUUCCUCUUCGACAGGAGACAAGCCCAUUACCCCCCUUCCUGUUCCUCCCGCCGCUGCUAUCGUGCAAGAACUUGGUACCAGAGAGUGUGUGUGUGAGAGAGAGGAACGAUUCGUCGGUGCCAUGGCGCCGCCGAAGAGGCAGCUGGCCCUGACGGGCGCCGGCGCAGGCCGGGAGGAGGCGAAGCGCCUGCGCGUCGGGGUCGCCAAAGCCAACGCCGCCGGCUGGCGUGCGCCGACAUCGCCGGCCUCGCCGGGGACGCGGCUCAUGCGGCGGACCGUGCUCGUCGUGCUCUUUCUACUGCGAAUGAGCGACGGGAUCACGGUGACGGAAAGCAUCUCCCAGAUUGGUCGCAUGGUUCAGAGGAAGAUGGAAGGGAUUCAGAAGGUUCAGGCUCUUAUGAUGCGCAAAUUGGAAAAUUUAGAGGAGAAAGUGGAGAGCAUGAGCCAUGAAGUGAAGAAAUUGGCACGUUUGCAUUCCAAUAGACACGCCGAUAAAUACCCAAGAUCAGAACCAUAUCAGGAGGGUGCCACUUUGAGUGAACCGAAUGCCAACAUUCGCCUGCGUUUCCUGGAUGGCCUCAGGACUCCAAUUUACACAGACAAGAUUAUAACAUCUCAGAGCAAUGCGGCUAUCAGGGUUGGCGUCUUUGAUGGUGAAAAAAUGAUCAAUGAAGGCCCGCUUUCGAAGGCGAAAGUUGAGAUCCUGGUUCUCCGUGGCGACUUCUGCAGUGACGGUCAGGAGAGCUGGACUGAAGAGGAGUUCAACAGCCACAUAGCGCAAGGCCGGCACAGGCAAGGGUCAGUGCUGGGGGGCGAUUGCAGUGCGUGGUUGAACAAUGGGGAGGCAUCAUUGGGAAAAAUCCGCUUCAGAGAAGGAUCAUCCAGGACUCCCAGUAGGAAGUUCAUCGUCGGAGGAAGAGUGUGCAUGAACAGGAAGAUCGGUGGUAUUCGAGUCCAGGAAGCUGUCAUGGAGCCGGUCACUGUGCUGGAUCGUAGGAAUGAAGCAAAUGAGAAGAGACACCCUCCAAGAUUGGACGAUGAAGUCUAUCGCCUGGAAGAAAUCUCCAGAGAUGGAAUUUACCACAGGAGGCUUAAGAAUGUUCAUAUCUUCACAGUGGAGGACUUCUUGAAGGCUUUGAAUAAGGACGCAGACGUGCUCCGUGAAAUGGUCCUCGAGAUCAAGAAGCGCAGUAACGCUUGGGAAAGAAUGGUUAAGCAUGCCAGGGAAUGCUGCCUCGCAGACAGGCCUGAGCUCAAAGCAUAUCACAGUGUAGAGGGGAAUGUGGUGAUCUUCUUCAAUUGCGUGCAUGAUCUUGUUGGAGCAAUUUUUUAUGGUGUUUACGUUUCACGGGACAAUUUUGAUCCGGCUAAGAAGGCUCAAGCGUAUGAGUUGAAAGAGUGUGCGCGCGGUCAGUUGGACAUCCUUCCGUUUGACUAUGUGAUGAAUGGCAAUCUUCCUGAACAAGUUCCCUCUAGCACACAUUCUACUCUGGAUGCAGCAUUCAUUCUUGGGCCGGAUGUCGCGCUUCAACCAAAUGAAAACCAGUUGCAGGAUAGGAUCAACAAUAUCACUGAACCAUCUCACCAGAAUGAGUAUAUUCAUGGUGAUCAGAGCACAGUUAACACACAUUAUUUCCAAGGAGAAAGUAUUCUACCAGUUGGUCAGCAGCAACCUACAAUUUUCACUGGUGAAUUGCUACACUGGCCCUACGAAAGAUCAGGUCAAGUGAACAUCCAUAGCCAGAUGCAAGCUCCCAUGUCCAUGGAUGGCGGAGGUGUCAUACAGGCAUCAACGUCUGUUCAGCACAACCUUCUACCACAAUUAUUUGUUCCUACUCAAGUCCAAGAAAGCAUGCAUGCCAUCCAUUACUCUGAGAAUCCACCUAACCAUGCUGUUGGACCAUCGACAUGGCACGAUGAUAUUUAUCCCUGA